Molecule: ribosomal RNA, 1403 nt
Filed under: Enterobacter cloacae
Lineage: Bacteria; Pseudomonadati; Pseudomonadota; Gammaproteobacteria; Enterobacterales; Enterobacteriaceae
Description: bacterial LSU rRNA
Rfam family: Bacterial large subunit ribosomal RNA
Source: RNAcentral
UUAUUAACGCUGAGGUGUGAUGACGAGGCACUACGGUGCUGAAGUAACAAAUGCCCUGCUUCCAGGAAAAGCCUCUAAGCAUCAGGUAACAUCAAAUCGUACCCCAAACCGACACAGGUGGUCAGGUAGAGAAUACCAAGGCGCUUGAGAGAACUCGGGUGAAGGAACUAGGCAAAAUGGUGCCGUAACUUCGGGAGAAGGCACGCUGAUAUGUAGGUGAAGCCCCUGCGGGUGGAGCUGAAAUCAGUCGAAGAUACCAGCUGGCUGCAACUGUUUAUUAAAAACACAGCACUGUGCAAACACGAAAGUGGACGUAUACGGUGUGACGCCUGCCCGGUGCCGGAAGGUUAAUUGAUGGGGUUAGCGGUAACGCGAAGCUCUUGAUCGAAGCCCCGGUAAACGGCGGCCGUAACUAUAACGGUCCUAAGGUAGCGAAAUUCCUUGUCGGGUAAGUUCCGACCUGCACGAAUGGCGUAAUGAUGGCCAGGCUGUCUCCACCCGAGACUCAGUGAAAUUGAACUCGCUGUGAAGAUGCAGUGUACCCGCGGCAAGACGGAAAGACCCCGUGAACCUUUACUAUAGCUUGACACUGAACACUGGUCCUUGAUGUGUAGGAUAGGUGGGAGGCUUUGAAGUGUGGACGCCAGUCUGCAUGGAGCCGUCCUUGAAAUACCACCCUUUAAUGGCUGGUGUUCUAACGUAGACCCGUGAUCCGGGUUGCGGACAGUGUCUGGUGGGUAGUUUGACUGGGGCGGUCUCCUCCCAAAGAGUAACGGAGGAGCACGAAGGUUAGCUAAUCCUGGUCGGACAUCAGGAGGUUAGUGCAAUGGCAUAAGCUAGCUUGACUGCGAGAGUGACGGCUCGAGCAGGUGCGAAAGCAGGUCAUAGUGAUCCGGUGGUUCUGAAUGGAAGGGCCAUCGCUCAACGGAUAAAAGGUACUCCGGGGAUAACAGGCUGAUACCGCCCAAGAGUUCAUAUCGACGGCGGUGUUUGGCACCUCGAUGUCGGCUCAUCACAUCCUGGGGCUGAAGUAGGUCCCAAGGGUAUGGCUGUUCGCCAUUUAAAGUGGUACGCGAGCUGGGUUUAGAACGUCGUGAGACAGUUCGGUCCCUAUCUGCCGUGGGCGCUGGAGAAUUGAGGGGGGCUGCUCCUAGUACGAGAGGACCGGAGUGGACGCAUCACUGGUGUUCGGGUUGUCAUGCCAAUGGCACUGCCCGGUAGCUAAAUGCGGAAAAGAUAAGUGCUGAAAGCAUCUAAGCACGAAACUUGCCCCGAGAUGAGUUCUCCCUGAGACUUUAAGUCUCCUGAAGGAACGUUGAAGACGACGACGUUGAUAGGUCGGGUGUGUAAGCGCAGCGAUGCGUUGAGCUAACCGAUACUAAUGAACCGUGAGGCUUAACCUU